Molecule: non-coding RNA, 227 nt
Organism: Malus domestica (apple)
Lineage: Eukaryota; Viridiplantae; Streptophyta; Magnoliopsida; Rosales; Rosaceae
Source: RefSeq, a predicted model, not a curated record
AAUGAGUCGUCACCUUGAGCCAAGAAAACAAUGGUCCUACAACCGUGAAUGUUCGUAUUACUGGACUUACCCCCGGGCCUCAUGGGUUUCACUUACAUGAGUAUGGUGAUACGACAAAAUGGAUGCAUAUCCACAGGACCACAUUUCAAUCCUAAACAGUUGACACAUGGUGCUCCUGAGGAUGAAGUCUGUCAUGCGGGUGACCUGGGAAACAUAGUUGCUAAUGC